Equus asinus (donkey) is the source of this 1709-nucleotide long non-coding RNA. The record is from Ensembl. Lineage: Eukaryota; Metazoa; Chordata; Mammalia; Perissodactyla; Equidae.
GUUAUGAUAGUUAAGAUGGGAAGAGAUAGGCUUAGACAAAAAUGAUGGUAGUGGAAUUGGAGAGAAAGGAAUGGACUCAAGAUAGCAAUAAUUCACUUUCAAACUGAAAUGAGACCACAUUAUCUUCAGCUAGUUGUAUUUUUUUUAAGGACACCUAUGGAGUGUUCUUGUUUUCAAGACUCUGAAAGCUGACCCUAGAAGAAUCGAAUAGUUAGGAUCCUCUCCAAAGGAGUUAUUGCAGACACUCCUAGAUGCAGUCUUUGGAUCCACACGCUGAACCUAGAUGAGGAAUUCGAUGCUGCUGUUCUUAUUGAGCUAAUAGAACUGGAAUCACAUAUACUGUGAUCACUUUCUUUAUGAGGCUGACGACCACGUCUGUGUUGUUUAUUGCUCUAUCCCCAGCACCUUGCAUAUAAAAGGCGUUUGGGCACCACAUAGGCCACAAAAUGUGAUGAACAGACUAGACUGAAUCUACAGGCUCCUCCGUGAUGCUAAGAAGGCAUUUCGUGCACUUUAGGGAAGAGUUCGCCCACGGUCCUGGAGUAUAGAAGAGAAAAUGAUUGAAAGUGGUCAAAUGGAAAUUCAGCAUAUCUUCCUAGAGGAACUGUUAGAUUUUGACCUGGAGAGGGCCGAGGAUAGGCUGUCUGUUUCCUCCAACGUGCGGCCUCCUUCUCCCCAUUCCUCUGUGAUUCACAGCAACCCUCGGCAGUGGCUCAGAGAGUGAACUGAUGGCGGACACAUAUGAAACAUUCUCUCACAUGGAUUAGUGGCAACCCAGGACAGUGUAGGGCCACAUGGUUGAGGGGUGUGUGUGUGUAUGUGUGUGCGCACAGAAGGGGGGUGUGUUGGGAUGAUUGGUAUUGCCUGCCAUCUAAUCAUAGUAUCUUUAUUUAUAGAAUAGCCACACUCCUAAAGAAUGUUUAAUGUAUAAUUAGUGAAAAAGCAUAAGAUUUAGACUGACCAGGGUUUAAAUUCUAGCUCCAUUACUUUGUUGUGCAUGUGUGUGUAUGAGAGAGAGAGAGGGAGAGAGAGGAAGAUCCAAGGAAAUUAAUUUGAUUUCUGUGAGUCUCAGUUUCCUCCUCUACACAUUUAUGGUAGUAACUAUGUCAUGGAUUUGUUUAAGAAUUUUUCUCUUUUUUGGUGAGGAAGAUUUACCCUGAGCUAACAUCUGUGCCAGUCUUCCUCUAUAUUGUAUGUGCAUUGCUGCCACAGCAUGGCUGACAAGUGGUGUAGGUCCACGCCUGGGAUCCAAACCCAUGAACCGGGGCAGCUGAAGUGGAGUGUGCUGAACUCAACCACUAGGCCACGGGGCUGGCCCUUGUUUGAGAAUUUUUAAAAGAUAAUAUUCAUAAGAUGGGUUAUUUGUGUCUACGUAGAAUGCCUUCCCUCUCCCUCUGAUAACAGUUCACUUCUACUUAGAUCAUGUCUGUGAUAUGAGGGGCUGCCAAUCAAGUAGGAACUGGUUGCUCUACAGAAACCCAGCUCCACUCUCCUCGAAGCAAGGACCUGCAGAUGACCUGAACCGGGCCAAUCAGGGCAUAGCUUUGAAUCGUUGAAGUCCAAGCUGAAGCUUUCUGGUAGUGAAGGUGAGAAAAUGCAGACUCAGAAGCUUCUGGCAGCUGGGGUCCUAGCUUCUCGGAGAAUCCUGAUUAGCAGUAAGAGAAGACAUGGAUAAAGGCGAGGUAAUGACUGGGGAGGAAGGAUCCUGG